RNAcentral lists this ribosomal RNA (893 nucleotides) under Sphingobacteriaceae bacterium MIDB18. RNAcentral's name for it is "bacterial SSU rRNA". It matches the Rfam family "Bacterial small subunit ribosomal RNA", at positions 94 to 988 of the family's 1533-position model. The record is from RNAcentral. Lineage: Bacteria; Pseudomonadati; Bacteroidota; Sphingobacteriia; Sphingobacteriales; Sphingobacteriaceae.
AGUGGCGCACGGGUGCGUAACACGUAUGUAACCUACCUUGUUCAGGGGGAUAGCCUCUCGAAAGAGAGAUUAAGACCGCAUAACAUUAUGAUAUGGCAUCGUAUUAUAAUCAAAUAUUUAUAGGAACAAGAUGGGCAUGCGGAACAUUAGCUAGUUGGUAAGGUAACGGCUUACCAAGGCUACGAUGUUUAGGGGAUCUGAGAGGAUGACCCCCCACACUGGUACUGAGACACGGACCAGACUCCUACGGGAGGCAGCAGUAAGGAAUAUUGGUCAAUGGGCGGAAGCCUGAACCAGCCAUGCCGCGUGCAGGAAGACGGCCCUACGGGUUGUAAACUGCUUUUGUACCAGAAUAAACCUUCUUUCGUGAAAGAAGCUGAAUGUAUGGUAAGAAUAAGGAUCGGCUAACUCCGUGCCAGCAGCCGCGGUAAUACGGAGGAUCCAAGCGUUAUCCGGAUUUAUUGGGUUUAAAGGGUGCGUAGGUGGCUUAUUAAGUCAGGGGUGAAAGACGGUAGCUUAACUAUCGCAGUGCCUUUGAUACUGAUGAGCUUGAAUGAACUAGAGGUAGGCGGAAUGUGACAAGUAGCGGUGAAAUGCAUAGAUAUGUCACAGAACACCAAUUGCGAAGGCAGCUUACUAUGGUUAUAUUGACACUGAGGCACGAAAGCGUGGGGAUCAAACAGGAUUAGAUACCCUGGUAGUCCACGCCCUAAACGAUGAAUACUCGAUGUUGGCGAUAUACGGUCAGCGUCUAAGCGAAAGCGUUAAGUAUUCCACCUGGGGAGUACGCCCGCAAGGGUGAAACUCAAAGGAAUUGACGGGGGCCCGCACAAGCGGAGGAGCAUGUGGUUUAAUUCGAUGAUACGCGAGGAACCUUACCCGGGCUUGAAAGU